GUCGGGGUGGCGGAAUUGGCAGACGCGCACGUUUGAGGGGCGUGUGGGCAGCCGUACGGGUUCAAGUCCCGUCCUCGNNN
Non-coding RNA from Alicyclobacillus sp., 80 nucleotides. The record is from Rfam. NCBI's taxonomy places the organism in Bacteria, Bacillati, Bacillota, Bacilli, Caryophanales, Alicyclobacillaceae.